CAGCCGCCACGGUAAUACCGGCGGCCCGAGUGGCGGUCACUAUUAUUGGGCUUAAAGCGUCCGUAGCCGGGUUGGGAAGUCCUCCGGGAAAUCUGGCCGCUUAACGGUCAGAAUGCCGGAGGAUACUCCCAGCCUAGGGAGCGGGAGAGGCCGAGGGUAUUCCCGGAGUAGGGGGGAAAUCCUAUAAUCCCGGGAGGACCACCUGUUGCGAAGGCGCUCGGCUGGAACGCGUCCGACGGUGAGGGACGAAGGCCAGGGGAGCAAACCGGAUUAGAUACCCGGGUAGUCCCAGCCGUAAACGAUGCUCGCUAGGUGUCAGGCAUGGCAUGACUGUGCCUGGUGCCGAAGGGAAGCCGUGAAGCGAGCCACCUGGGAAGUACGGCCGCAAGGCUGAAACUUAAAGGAAUUGGCGGG
RNAcentral lists this ribosomal RNA (414 nucleotides) under uncultured microorganism. Its description in RNAcentral is "partial 16S ribosomal RNA". It matches the Rfam family "Archaeal small subunit ribosomal RNA", at positions 459 to 872 of the family's 1478-position model. The record is from RNAcentral.